CAGAACGAACGCUGGCGGCAGGCUUAACACAUGCAAGUCGAACGCGUGUAGCAAUACACGAGUGGCGCACGGGUGAGUAACGCGUGGAUAUCUGCCUUUGGUUCGGAAUAACUCCGGGAAACUGGAGCUAAUACCGGAUGGUUCCUACGGGAUAAAGAUUUAUCGCCAAAAGAUGAGUCCGCGUACGAUUAGCUAGUUGGUGAGGUAAUGGCUCACUAAGGCGACGAUCGUUAGCUGGCCUGAGAGGACGAUCAGCCACACUGGGACUGAGACACGGCCCAGACUCCUACGGGAGGCAGCAGUGGGGAAUAUUGGACAAUGGGGGCAACCCUGAUCCAGCCAUGCCGCGUGAGUGAUGAAGGCCUUCGGGUUGUAAAGCUCUUUUGGCGGGGACGAUGAUGACGGUACCCGCAGAAUAAGCCCCGGCUAACUUCGUG
This 437-nucleotide ribosomal RNA is filed under the name uncultured bacterium. RNAcentral's name for it is "bacterial SSU rRNA". It matches the Rfam family "Bacterial small subunit ribosomal RNA", at positions 25 to 507 of the family's 1533-position model. The record is from RNAcentral.